This 75-nucleotide antisense RNA is filed under the name Streptomyces sp. ADI91-18. Its description in RNAcentral is "ASpks TB sRNA". It matches the Rfam family "ASpks TB sRNA". The record is from RNAcentral. Lineage: Bacteria; Bacillati; Actinomycetota; Actinomycetes; Kitasatosporales; Streptomycetaceae.
CUUGAUCGAACCCAGCAACAGCGGCUGCCCGUCGGCGCGGUCCUGGCCGUACGUCGCCAGCAGCGCCUGCGCCUC